RNAcentral lists this unclassified non-coding RNA (1282 nucleotides) under Hevea brasiliensis (rubber tree). The record is from RNAcentral. Lineage: Eukaryota; Viridiplantae; Streptophyta; Magnoliopsida; Malpighiales; Euphorbiaceae.
GAAGUCUUUUAAGGUCCCUUGCUCACAACAUUUACAAGCUAUUUCAAUUCAUCAACACUGCUUCUUCUGUUUCUUAUACCAAAUUCUGAAUAUGGCUCUUUCAUUGGAAAUUAAGAAAGAAUUUACCCAACUAUCAGAAAGGGUAAAAUCUGUGGAUCUACAUCCAACUGAACCAUGGAUUCUUGCAAGUUUGUAUUCAGGAACUGUCUGUAUCUGGAACUACCAGUCGCAGACCCUGGAGAGGUCUUUUAAGGUCACUGAAUCCCCAGUGAGGUCAGCAAAAUUCAUUGCAAGAAAGAACUGGAUUGUCACCGGAUCAGAUGACAAGUUCAUUCGCGUAUAUGAUCAAGAUACAAUGGAAAUGAUCAAAGAAUUUGAGGCACACAAAGAUUACAUUAGGUGUGUGUCUGUCCACCCUUCUCUUCCCUGUGUACUGUCAUCAUCUGAUGAUAUGCUAAUAAAGAUGUGGGAUUGGGAGAAGGGCUGGGAGUGCACUCAGACCUAUGAGGGACAUUCUCAUUAUGUGAUGCAAUCAGUUUUUAAUCCAAAAGAUUGCAAUACAUUUGCAAGUGCAUCACUUGAUGGAACUAUAAAGAUUUGGAAUCUGAAUUCCCCUGCUCCAAUUUCUACAUUGGAAGGGCACUCAAAAGGGGUAAAUUCUGUUGAUUACUUCAUCAACAGUGAAAAAACAUAUCUGCUAAGCGGUUCUGAUGACUAUACUGUCAAGGUUUGGGACUACGAAGCCAAAACUUGUGUCCAUACAUUAGAAAGCCACACGAACAAUGUUUGUGCAGUCUGUGUCCAUCCAGAGUUUCCCAUCAUAAUUACAUCUUCUGAGGAUGGGACUAUCUGUAUAUGGGAUGCAAACACUUACAGACUUGAGAACACAUUGAAUUAUGGUCUUGAAAGAGUCUGGACUGUUGGAUGCAAGAAAGGCUCAGACCAGGUUGCAUUUGGUUGUGAUAAUGGAACCAUUAUGAUCAGCGUUAGUGGCUCAAAAUGAGAGGCAACAAUUCCAAGAAAUAAUUGUGGAAAUAAUUCUAGCCACCAUUAGUGUUGCUUUUGCUGUUUGUAAAAUAAUGGUUACUAGCUUGUAUUUUUAUUUCAAGUAUUAGACCUUGGUGCCCACUCUCGGACGGCCUUAUCUUGACCAUAAGAUAAGGCACCGAUUAUUACAUGUACCAGGAGGAAUAACGUGUACUAGUCUUGUACGCUCUUUUGCCUUAUUUGGAACAAGAGAUUGCAUAUAAAUAUAAGGAUUCUUUAUCAUGGAUAAAAAGCA